Molecule: transfer RNA, 73 nt
Filed under: Loxodonta africana (African savanna elephant)
Lineage: Eukaryota; Metazoa; Chordata; Mammalia; Proboscidea; Elephantidae
Rfam family: tRNA
About the family: Transfer RNA (tRNA) molecules are approximately 80 nucleotides in length. Their secondary structure includes four short double-helical elements and three loops (D, anti-codon, and T loops). Further hydrogen bonds mediate the characteristic L-shaped molecular structure. tRNAs have two regions of fundamental functional importance: the anti-codon, which is responsible for specific mRNA codon recognition, and the 3' end, to which the tRNAs corresponding amino acid is attached (by aminoacyl-tRNA synthetases). tRNAs cope with the degeneracy of the genetic code in two manners: having more than one tRNA (with a specific anti-codon) for a particular amino acid; and 'wobble' base-pairing, i.e. permitting non-standard base-pairing at the 3rd anti-codon position.
Source: Rfam by way of RNAcentral
GCCCCGGUGGCACAAACGGGUAAGUGCUCGGCUGCUCACCGAGAGGUUGGUGGUUCGAAUCCACCCAGCGGCC